GGGCCCAUAGCUCAGUUGGUUAGAGCAGAGGACUCAUAAUCCUUUGGUCCUUGGUUCAAGUCCAAGUGGGCCCACCA
RNAcentral lists this transfer RNA (77 nucleotides) under Gammaproteobacteria bacterium. Its description in RNAcentral is "tRNA-Ile". It matches the Rfam family "tRNA". From Rfam's summary of the family: Transfer RNA (tRNA) molecules are approximately 80 nucleotides in length. Their secondary structure includes four short double-helical elements and three loops (D, anti-codon, and T loops). Lineage: Bacteria; Pseudomonadati; Pseudomonadota; Gammaproteobacteria. The record is from RNAcentral.